Molecule: long non-coding RNA, 215 nt
Filed under: Ananas comosus (pineapple)
Lineage: Eukaryota; Viridiplantae; Streptophyta; Magnoliopsida; Poales; Bromeliaceae
Description: long non-coding RNA (ACOM_LNC005674)
Source: RNAcentral
AUAAAUAUAUAUAAUUGUUUUUUUUUUUGAGAAAAAGGUAGCGAGCUACCUGCUUCAUUCAUAAAGCAAGAUGAAUUAAGCAUACAGGGGUGGAGGCAGCUGAGGCCUCCGAGUUCGAAAAAUGAAGUACAGAAAAAGAUUAAAGUAAAAGUAUAAAGUAAAAAAAACUAAAAAAAGAAAUAAAAGAAGAGAGAGAGCAAGAGAUGGGAAGGGGG